GAUGAACGCUGGCGGCGUGCCUAAUACAUGCAAGUCGAGCGAACGGACGAGAAGCUUGCGUCUCUGAUGUUAGCGGCGGACGGGUGAGUAACACGUGGAUAACCUACCUAUAAGACUGGGAUAACUUCGGGAAACCGGAGCUAAUACCGGAUGAUAUUUUGAACCGCAUGGUUCAAAAGUGAAAUACGGUGUUGCGGGCUCUUAUAGAUGGAUCCCAGCUGCAUUAGCUAGUUGGUAAGGUAACGGCUUACCACGGCAACGAGGCCUAGCCGACGGGAGAGGGUGAUCGGCCACAUUGGAAGUUGGACACCGUCCAUAGUACUACGGGAGGGAGCAGUAGGGAACCGUCCGCAGCGGUCGGAAGCCUGACGGAGCAACGCCGCGUGAGUGAUGAAGGUCUUCGGAUCGUAAAGACCUGUUAUUAGGGAAGAACAUAUGUGUAAGUAACUGUGCACAUCUUGACGGUAACUAAUCAGAAAGCAACGGCUAACUACGUG
RNAcentral lists this ribosomal RNA (497 nucleotides) under uncultured bacterium. RNAcentral's name for it is "partial 16S ribosomal RNA". It matches the Rfam family "Bacterial small subunit ribosomal RNA", at positions 28 to 507 of the family's 1533-position model. The record is from RNAcentral.